CAGUCCGACUCUGAGCAUCGCACCGUUCAGACGCAAACUCCCAGCCAACUCACUCACCACUCACUCACUCACCACUCACCGAGUUGACAGAUUUGCUCCCUCAUCCGGUUGGUGUCAAGCACCGAAGGGGGACAUCCUCUCCACUGACUGCUCUCGGCUCGAUUGUAGCAGCAGCAGAGACUGCCGACAGAGUCGACGGUAAUUUGAAGGGUCGCGGAUGAAGUGCUUCGAUAAUCGCGUUUCACAAACAAUUGGUUAUUUAUCUAAUCAUAAAAGAGUAGUCUGAAGAAUAGUGAUGGUGACUCGUAAGGAUACUAUCCAGUGUUUUGGAAUUUGACAAUUUUCGGCCAAGUUUAAACUUCAAUUCAAUAAAGUUUAUAAACUGGACAUUAUUUAUUGUUUGUGCUCUAUUCAAGGAGAUUUCAUUUGUGUUAUGAUUCAUAAGUGGAUGCGACUUAUAUUUCAUAAUCAUAUAGAGUUCAAAGACGCUUGAACUUAUAGAGUAUAUAUAACUCUAUAUAGAGUUAUAUAGAUGCUUCGAAUUUAUCGAGUAAGGUUUGUUCGGCGAAAGCGUUGAGAAAAGUAACAUUGGAGGUCGGAAGGCCAAUGCUUAUAGAAUUAGCUGAGAAAAACGUUUGCUAUAGUUCAUUAUAGGUGAGUGAGCUUCAUUGAGUAUGAUAGUUUGAUCAUAGAGCUCCGCUAAUCUUUGCAUCAAAAUGUUCCGAAUUGAGAGAGCCUCCUUGAUGAUUUUAUGAUCAGGUUGUUUCAAUUUACAUCGUAUGGUUCUUGGUUGAUUCUCAAAAAACAUUGAUGUUUUUUGGAAAAAAAUAUAUCUUUUUUCAGUGAUGAUUCGUUUAGGGUUCUAGCCAACAAUUAAAUAGACUUUCUAUCAUAAUAACAAUACUACAAAAACUAAACACUUGAACAAUUUUAUCUCUUCAAUAGGGGAGUGAGUUGCUAUCAUUCACAUGAUAAACUGUAGGCCUACAUUAAAAUAAACAUAAAUCUAGUGAAAUGAGCUAAUAUUGGCGCAAAGGGCAAUAUUCGAGUAAAAGGCAGAAUAUUCGUAUAAAAUAAAUUUGAAGAGAGUUCAACCUGAUGAUAAAAGUGAUUAAUUGAAGUUCAGUUCGAUUGAAGCUCAAUCGUAUUUCCAGCUUCCCAAUUCUAGAUAUCUUCCAAUAUUCACCUUACACCCUUGAAAUAAAUUAACUUGAGUUGUAGAAUAUUGAAAGCAUGAUUUGAAGCUCUUAUCAAGUAAUUAGUUGGAUGAAACAGUGAAGUGAGAUUUUAGUUAGAUUAUUCUUCCACCUACGGCUCUACAAUAAAAAUCAAAUUUUGAGCAGAAGUAGAAAGAAAAAAAAAGAUGAAACCAGAAGGAUUGGAAAGUUGCGAAUUUCAAGCUGUUUGAUAACAAACUGGUCUGCAAUUUUUUCUCCCCGAAUUGACCGACAACUUUUGCUCUUUGAAUUGCAACAUCGCUUCACUAUUCACGGUUUAAGAAUGAUAGACCCAAUGCUUUUCACACCAGCCACCUACUGCCACACACACUAAUGUUCUCAUUGGAGUGAGUGGAUUGAAAUAGAAAUGCAGUGUUUAUUGAAAUGUUAUCACCAAUUGAAUUGGAGUGGGAAUAAUGAUACAAAAACGUUCAACUACUGUACAAAAUCCCUAUUGCGAGUGUGAUUUCUCAAUCGAUUUAGCAAAGGCAGAAGAUUAUCGGUGGCAUUAUCUGUUUUCUCAUCUUAUACAUUAGAAUUAAAAUUUUCCUAUUCACUGUGUAACAAUGUGCGACGAAGAAUUGAUCGAUAUGGCGUCAGCCUCACUUUUGGAAUCUAAUUGUGAUUUGUGCGGAUCGAGUAAGGCUCGAUGUACUCAUAAUAACCUCAAAAAAGCUCGCAUACAAGCGACCAAGGAGGGCACUUCGGGAUCUGCGCGGUCACCAGUUAUCGUCAUCGGUGGGCGGACAUCCAUGGUAGAUGACGAUGAUGAUGAUAACGAUGAUCUCGUGGAUGAUUCCGAUUAUAUUGAAGACAUAAUGACGCGACCAGUGAGCGCGGGUGGCGACAAAGACAAACAGGCAGAGAAGCAGACGAAAAGUGAGUGUGUCGCCCCCCACCCCGCGCACCCAGCCGACCCGAUAUCGCAGUCAAUCGGCGAAUUCGGCCGCUGGCAGUUCCUGCUCACAUUCCUCCUGUCCUUGGUCAACUUCCCCUGCACGUUUCACAUUUUCGCGCCAACAUUCGAGGGUGCGCAAAGGGACUUUUGGUGUGCGCGACCCCCGGGACGAAAUGUGGCCGUUGACACCUGGAAGAGCUUCAGUGGCAUAUUCGACAUUGACAAAGAUGGAAAUGCCAUCUACGAUCCUUGCAGAGUGAAGGAUGUUAUAGUGCCGUUAUCAAUAAACCGAAGUGAAAUAGUGAUUACUUACUCAAAUGAUUCAGUACCUUGGAAAAAGUGUUUGGAAUGGGAGUACAACAUGACUGAUUUUGGCAAAACCAUCAUAAGCGAGUGGAACCUUGUCUGUGAAAAUCAACAACUAAGCAACAUUGCAGAAAUGAUGUUUCUACUUGGAGUUGCUAUUGGAGGUCUUGCUUCUGGGUUCUUUUCGGACAGGUUGGGCAGGAAAAACACACUGAUGGUAUCACUUCUUCUUCAAAUUGUACUCGGACUAUCAAUUGCGUUUGUUCCCUGGCUGAGUCUCUAUCUUGUCCUGAGGGCACUUCUUGGCUUUGUUUGUGUCAGCGUCGUCUUCUCAGGAUUUGUCUUGUGUAUGGAAUUGGUAGGCGGGAAAUGGCUUACGAUAUCUGGAGUAUCAUACCUAUUCCCACUGCCACUCGCUUACAUUGUCAUCUCAGCAAUUGCCUAUUACAUAAGAGAUUGGAGAAAUCUUCAAGUUGCCAUAACUGUUCCUGCAAUUCCAUUCCUAUUACUUUGGUGGGUGCUACCAGAGUCACCAAGAUGGUUACUGACAAUGGGACGUGUUGAAGAGACAAUGAAUGUACUCAAAGAAGCUGCUCAAGUGAACAGAAUGGAACUCCCACCAGAUACCCAUAAACUAUUGAGUCGGAGUAUAUCCAAGGUAGAAAUGUCAGAAUCGCCCAAGGUUGGAUUUGGAGAUCUAUUCCGGACACCAAGAAUCCGUAAAAUAUCGUUGGUUCUCUACGUUGUCUGGUUUACAGUCUACCUCAUCUACUAUGGAGUUGUACUCAACUUAUCAAGCUUGGGUGGAAAUAUCUACAUUAACUCCAUAAUCUCUGGAGCAGUAGAGUUCCCUGCAAUAGCAAUCAGUAUUCUUUUUCUCCUGAAGAUGGGAAGAAGGUGGCCUCUCUGCUUGACCGUUAUAGGAGCAGGAAUCUCUUGUCUACUCACGAUACCUGUCCCCAAAGAUUUCCAUUGGUUGAAAAUCACAUUUGCAAUGGCUGCCAAAUUCUGUAUUUCAUCAUCGAAUGUGGUGAUGCCGGUCUACACGGCUGAACUGUUUCCUACUAUAAUGAGAAAUCUGGGCGUGGGUUCGUCCAAUGUACCGGCUGGAGUGGCACUUAUGCUUGUUCCCUACUUAUGGAACUUGGCCGAUAUGAAUACUAACAUGCCAAUGGGAGUGCUGGGAUUCUUCGGCAUAAUUGGUGGAGCAUCCGUCCUCUUACUGCCAGACACCGACAAUUUAGCUGACACUCUCAAUGACAUUGAAUGAGCAUUCGGAAAGCUGCACUGAAUUCGUUCAACGUCCUGAAUUCGUGAUUAUGGAUCUGGAAGAACAUCAGAGGUUCACCGCUUAACAAACUGGAUAAUCGAAGACGCCAAAAAUUCCAAGAGGAUUCUUGGCGGUGAUUGGAGAUAUCUGGGCAUUGGACUCCAUCGCGCCCCCCUCAGCGUCAAUCACCGCUACUACCGCCGUCUGCAGUGUGUCUGCUACCUUACUUUGCGUGGACGAAAAGAGACUCAUAUUUUAAAAAUGGAUUAAGUGUCAAGUGUUUGUAAAAAAGUGAAAGUUUUGGUUAACAAAAUAUUUAGUGAGGACACAAAUGAGGAUAGGCCUAUGGACAUUACAAGCCAGGUAACCUAUUUAUUACUUAAGCUCUUAUAAUAUAAUAAUGCUAUUUAUAUUUUCAAUUGUCAUUUUCUGACUAGCUAACAUACUGUUCUCCAACCAUAUAUACAAAAUAAUUAUGACUAAAUUUCGGCAGUUUAGGCCCAUAAAAUAUAAUAGCUCUCUCUAUAAAAUAUAUUUUCCACAAUAAUAAUAAUAAUAUAAAAUUUUCUUUAAAACAUAUAAUUUCUCCUUAUUUAAAGCUAUUAAUUCCGCAAAAAGUAAUACAAAAAGUAACCUGCCUGCUUCCUUAAUACUCCUAUAUCUAUUAUUCUAUUAUCCAUCCACAACAAAUUUCAAUAUGACUAGACUUGUCUUUAGUUAUUAUCAUCAAUAUAGUUCUUGACCUUAUUUCAAUAAUUAUUUAAUGAGCUCAGCUCUCAUCAUCAGUCCCAUGUUCGGUCGCCAAGUUCUUAUGUCACAUUAUUUUUUAUAGUUAAAUAACGAUUAGCCUCCUGCUUGGCAUCAAUUGGUAGAGCAUGAAAUAUUUUAAUAAUUAUAAAAAUCAGGUCAUGGUUUUUUUAUAGGAUACAGUCUCACUUUGGUACGACAUAUUCUUGUCAUCAUACAUUAAUGGGCUCAUACAGGAGCUUAUAAAAAUAAUACUGAUAAUUUAUUAAAAAAUAUAUAUAUGGUACUUAUCCUAUAGUAUUGAGGAAUAAAAAUAAAUCGCACACCAUAAACAAUUUGAUACAUAUAUUAACAAAUAUUGCAAAAAAUAAAUCAGAGCAGAAAA
Molecule: unclassified non-coding RNA, 4823 nt
Filed under: Nilaparvata lugens (brown planthopper)
Lineage: Eukaryota; Metazoa; Arthropoda; Insecta; Hemiptera; Delphacidae
Description: organic cation transporter protein, transcript variant X2
Source: RNAcentral